UUCGGAGGGUGCAAGCGUUGUCCGGAAUCACUGGGCGUAAAGGGCGCGUAGGCGGCUCAUGAAGGCUGUGGUGAAAGUCCGGGGCUCAACCUCGGAUCGGCCGUGGCGACUCGUGGGCUGGAGCACUGUAGAGGCGGGUGGAAUUCCGGGUGUAGCGGUGGAAUGCGUAGAGAUCCGGAAGAACACCAGUGGCGAAGGCGGCCCGCUGGGCAGUGGCUGACGCUGAGGCGCGACAGCGGUGGGGAGCAAACGA
RNAcentral lists this ribosomal RNA (253 nucleotides) under uncultured bacterium. RNAcentral's name for it is "partial 16S ribosomal RNA". It matches the Rfam family "Bacterial small subunit ribosomal RNA", at positions 524 to 775 of the family's 1533-position model. The record is from RNAcentral.